Non-coding RNA from Oryza glumipatula, 212 nucleotides. The record is from Rfam. Lineage: Eukaryota; Viridiplantae; Streptophyta; Magnoliopsida; Poales; Poaceae.
AAAAAGACAAACCCUGGUAUUCCAGCCGUACCCAACGUUUGAUUGUCCGUCUUAUAUGAAAUUUUUUUAUAAUUAGUAUUUUCAUUGUUGUUAGAUGAUAAAAUAUGAUUAAUACUUUAUACGUGACUUGUCUUUUUAAUUUUUUUUCAUAAUUUUUUUAAAUAAGACGGACGGUCAAACGUUGAACACGAAAACCCAGGGUUUGCCUUUUA